Molecule: long non-coding RNA, 1530 nt
Organism: Sus scrofa (pig)
Lineage: Eukaryota; Metazoa; Chordata; Mammalia; Artiodactyla; Suidae
Source: RefSeq, a predicted model, not a curated record
AGUGGUUACUAGGAGCCAAUAACAAAUCGAUAUGUAAAUCACCUUGGAGACUGCACAAGGCCCUUGGUUCAGAAGUAACCAGCCGGAAGACAGGUGGCCUCAACUCUUUAGGAUUUGUCCUCAGGUCCAGAAAUAGAGAAGGCUGGAUGAGUAAUGGAGGCCUUUCAAUAAUCUGAAUACUCUGGAGUAAGACUUAAGGGGCACUUAGGACAGCUUUGAUCCCAGUGUUCUCUCUAUGCAGCAUUCUCCAGCUCUGUUCCAGCGCUUGAUACAAUUUGGUUCAAACUAAAGAUAAUUCUAGUUCCAGAUGGUUGCUUCACCAACUGACAGAAAAGCUGGCUAAGAAGUUGACCUGUGCUGUGGCAAUACUCCCUGCCUGCUCCUGCUUUCCCUCUCCAUCUAGAGGUUUAAGGGAAGAAGUUCUAGAGAAGAGACUUGGCAGAUUUCAUGGGAUGAAGAGGAUGGAUCUUUUUCAUAGACUUACUCUUUUGCAGAAAUUUUAGGCAUCUGCUGAAAACUGUCGGACUGUAUUUAACUCUACCUCCUACCAAGAAAAUAAAGUCUGUACUGUGGAAGAUCUUAACCAUCUUGGACCUUGUAGCAAACUUAGGUUGUAAGCUGCCCUUCUGGGGCACACUGACAUGGACCUACAUAGCUCAAGAAACCAGUGCUUCAUUUCAGCUGCAAGGUUGGGCCUGUGGCUCCUUGCUUAAGGGGAGAAAGAAAUAUGGCUGUAGUCUUGGUAAGCUGUCAGAAAAUGAUUACUAAGAUAUAAAGAGAUAGUUCAUGAUAGAGGAUUAUGAUGAAUGAAUUAAACACUGGGGAAACUAACCUCACUAGUAAAGAAAUACAUGUUAAAACAUUAGGACACAAUUUCUCCUAAUAAAGUAGCAAGGCUGCAGCGAAACUUAACAUUCUGUAAUAGAUGGCAUUACAAAUAAGUGUCAACUAUUUGGAGGGCAGUUUGCGAUAUAUCAAGAGCCUAAAGGAUUGUUUGUGUCCUUUGACCCAUUGAUCUCAAUUUUGUUACUCUAUAAACAUUUAUUAAGGGUCCCUUCCAUAUGACAGAUAACAUUCUAGGUGGAGACAUCAGAGAUUGGUGUCGCAUAUUGUACCCUUCGGAAACUGACAGUCUUCUGGGGAAAAACAUACUAAUAAUCAGAUAAUAACAAUACAGAGUUGAAUGGGGAAAACAGGAGCCUAACUGCAGGUCUGGGGAGUGUGUGGCAGGGAACAGGGAAGGUUUCCUGCAGGAGAUGACACCAUACUGAAUCUGAGAGGAUACAUAAUUACCCUAGAAUACCAAGUGGGGACCAGGGUUCCAGGCAGAGCCAGAAUAAGACCCAGAGGUGGCUGUCCAUGGUUCAGCAUGGCUAGAGGCUAGGCCUAAAAGGGAUGUCGGGAGGUGAUUCCACCGUUCUCAAGGCUUACAUUAGAAAAAGUUUUCAGGAGGAGUUCCUGUCAUGGCUGAGCAGUUAACGAACCCGACUAGUAUCGAUGAGGACUUGGGUUCAAUACCUGGCCUUGCUC